CCCAUUAGAAUGUUUGGAGGAAGAUGCUAUAGAAAUAUUUGGUUUAAUUAUGCAUAUGUUGCCCAGCUAUGCAACCCAAGAUGGGGGGUGAAUUGGGUUUCUAAAAAUUUUAAGCUUAACUAAUGACUUAUGAGAAAUGUUUGACAAAGCUAUAUAGAUAGGGUGAGUAGAAUUAAUUCAAGGCUAAUAGCAAGAGCAAGAAUGCAAGAGAAUAAUGAAG
Molecule: long non-coding RNA, 220 nt
Filed under: Elaeis guineensis (African oil palm)
Lineage: Eukaryota; Viridiplantae; Streptophyta; Magnoliopsida; Arecales; Arecaceae
Description: long non-coding RNA (EGUI_LNC028119)
Source: RNAcentral